This 306-nucleotide ribosomal RNA is filed under the name uncultured Planctomycetota bacterium. RNAcentral's name for it is "bacterial SSU rRNA". It matches the Rfam family "Bacterial small subunit ribosomal RNA", at positions 29 to 351 of the family's 1533-position model. Lineage: Bacteria; Pseudomonadati; Planctomycetota. The record is from RNAcentral.
AAUGAACGUUGGCGGCGUGGAUUAGGCAUGCAAGUCGUGCGAGAACCGUAGCAAUACGGGGACAGCGGCGAAAGGGAGAGUAACACGUGGAUACCAACCCUUGGGACUGGGAUAGCUACGGGAAACUGUAGGUAAUACCAGAUGACGUCUCCGGACCAAAGGUGUGAUUCCGCCCGAGGACGGGUCCGCGUUCUAUUAGCUAGUUGGUAGGGUAAUGGCCUACCAAGGCAAAGAUGGAUACGGGGUGUGAGAGCAUGCCCCCGCUCACUGGGACUGAGAUACUGCCCAGACACCUACGGGAGGCAG